AUUGAACGCUGGCGGCAUGCCUUACACAUGCAAGUCGAACGGCAGCACGGGUGCUUGCACCUGGUGGCGAGUGGCGAACGGGUGAGUAAUACAUCGGAACAUGUCCUGUAGUGGGGGAUAGCCCGGCGAAAGCCGGAUUAAUACCGCAUACGAUCUACGGAUGACAGGGGGGGACCUUCGGGCCUCGCGCUGUAGGGUUGGCCGAUGGGUGAUUAGCUAGUUGGUGGGGUAAAGGCCUACCAAGGCGACGAUCAGUAGCUGGUCUGAGAGGACGAGCAGCCACACUGGGACUGAGACACGGCCCAGACUCCUACGGGAGGCAGCAGUGGGGAAUUUUGGACAAUGGGCGAAAGCCUGAUCCAGCAAUGCCGCGUGUGUGAAGAAGGCCUUCGGGUUGUAAAGCACUUUUGUCCGGAAAGAAAUCCUUGGCCCUAAUACGGUCGGGGGAUGACGGUAACGGAAGAAUAAGCACCGGCUAACUACGUG
Molecule: ribosomal RNA, 486 nt
Filed under: uncultured bacterium
Lineage: Bacteria
Description: partial 16S ribosomal RNA
Rfam family: Bacterial small subunit ribosomal RNA
Source: RNAcentral